AUGUUGGAAAAGGUCAGGCACAAAGUUACACAAAGAUUUCAAGAAAACAGGACAAAAUCUGAGAAGUGGAAUUCUAGUCCAAUUUGCCCAAACAUCUUUAAAAAGCUGAAGGUGAAUAUCAAAUUGACACAAUUUUGUGAUGUGCUUUGGAAUGGAAAAGAAGGCUUUAAGGUAAAACAUGUCAGUGGUAGAGGAAGGAGCUACACUGUCAAUUUGGACAAGAGGACAUGCUCUUGUGGUUACUUGCAGCUGGCAGGGCUACCUUGUUGCCAUGCUGUUAGUGCCAUAUACAAGAGUGGCAGAACUAUAGAAGAAUUCAUUGACAAGUGUUAUUCAGUUCAGCAGUUUAAAAAAAUAUAUGAGCACUGCUUGGAGCCGGUGGAAGGUCGGGAAAGGUGGCCUAUUUCUGAAAAACCAAGACCACAAGCUCCAGGUUAUGUGAGCAUGCCAGGUAGGCCCAGGAAAAAUGACAGGAGGAGGGAAGAGGGAGAAGCACCAAAAGGCAGAAAAAUGUCGAAGCAUGGCAUUCAGAUUACCUGUAGCUUGUGUGGUCACAAAGGCCACAAUAAGACAGGUUGCAACAAAAAUCCUGAAAAGGGGAAGAAAAAGAAUGCAUUCCUGAAGAAAUCUGGGAGGAAAAUGAAAGCCUCUGAAGUAAAUGCGCCUGCAUUGCUUCACAUACUUAUUUACUUUCAUUUUAGUAGUUACUCUUGCAUUCUUUCACAUACUUAUGUAGUUUCAUUUAUUUGA
RNAcentral lists this ribosomal RNA (750 nucleotides) under Triticum aestivum (bread wheat). Its description in RNAcentral is "partial small subunit ribosomal RNA". The record is from RNAcentral. Lineage: Eukaryota; Viridiplantae; Streptophyta; Magnoliopsida; Poales; Poaceae.